Molecule: ribosomal RNA, 367 nt
Filed under: uncultured haloarchaeon
Lineage: Archaea; Methanobacteriati; Methanobacteriota; Halobacteria; Halobacteriales; Halobacteriaceae
Description: bacterial SSU rRNA
Rfam family: Archaeal small subunit ribosomal RNA
Source: RNAcentral
AUUCCGGUUGAUCCUGCCGGAGGCCAUUGCUAUUGGAGUCCGAGUUAGCCAUGCUAGUCGCACGAGUUCAGACUCGUGGCGAACAGCUCAGUAACACGUGGCCAAUCUCCCCCACAGCGACGGAUACCCUCGGGAAACUGAGGUUAAUCCGUCAUACCCAUCUCACGCUGGAAUCGCCGAGAUGCUCAAAACGCUCUCCGGAGCGCUGUGGGAUGAGGCUGCGGUUGAUUAGGUAGACGGUGGGGUAACGGCCCACCGUGCCCAUAAUCAGUACAGGUUGUGAGAGCAAGAACCUGGAGACGGAAUCUGAGACAAGAUUCCGGGCCCUACGGGGCGCAGCAGGCGCGAAACCUUUACACUGCACGCC